Molecule: ribosomal RNA, 300 nt
Filed under: Triticum aestivum (bread wheat)
Lineage: Eukaryota; Viridiplantae; Streptophyta; Magnoliopsida; Poales; Poaceae
Description: partial small subunit ribosomal RNA
Source: RNAcentral
UUGCAACGAACCGGGAGGCUGGCUCUCAUCAAUUCGGUGGUCACUAGCACGGUGACCUUCUUUCUGACGAUCUUUGCACCUUACAGGUGGUUCAUAAAUUUUUUUGACAAACUAAGAAGAAACUUUCUGUGGAAUGCCGACGAGGAAGCUCAUGGGGGCAAAUGUUUGGUGAAUUGGAAGCGAAUCUGCGCACCCAAAGCAGUUGGAGGACUAGGCAUCAAAAACCUUUCCGCCUUCAGCACGGCCCUGCGGCUGCGCUGGCCCUGGUUUGAGUGGGACGAUAUGGAUAGACCGUGGAAG